This 279-nucleotide ribosomal RNA is filed under the name uncultured crenarchaeote. RNAcentral's name for it is "partial 16S ribosomal RNA". It matches the Rfam family "Archaeal small subunit ribosomal RNA", at positions 507 to 786 of the family's 1478-position model. Lineage: Archaea; Thermoproteati; Thermoproteota. The record is from RNAcentral.
GGCCUAAAGCGUCCGUAGCCGGCUCGGUAAGUCUCUCGUGAAAUCCAGCGNCCUAACCGUAGGGCUGCCAGGGAUACUGCNNAGCUAGAAGGUGGGAAAGGUUAGCGGUAUUUCCGGGGUAAGGGCUAAAUCCUUUGAUCCCNGGAGGACCACCCGUUGCCAAGGCUGCUGACUAUAACACGCCUUACGGUUAGGGACGAAAACUGGGGUAACCAAUCGGAUUAGAUAUCCGGGUAGUCCCAGCCGUAAACGAUUCUGGCUAGGUGUUGGGUCGGCCAC